This 79-nucleotide small RNA is filed under the name Flavobacterium phage 6H. Lineage: Duplodnaviria; Heunggongvirae; Uroviricota; Caudoviricetes; Duneviridae. The record is from RNAcentral.
ACCCUCGUUAUGGUGAUGGAGCAGGAAACUGCCCUAAAUCUAUCCUUUGGAUAUUUAGUCACACCUAAAGCGAGGGUUU